CAUGAUUAGUUGAUGGUUAAAUGUGAGCAUUAAGGACCGUCAACAAGCUCCCCCAAGCUUAACCUUUGCUCGUCCCUGAGCAAAGAUGAACUCAAGAGUUUCUGCAGUGGUUUCAUAACUCAAAGAUACACAUGCGUUUAAACAAGAUCUCAUCUCUCGUUAGAGUAAACUGUUAAGACUUAAAACUUACUCAUUUACCUUUCACCAUGGGACUUGUAACCGUCACUUCUGUCUUGAGUAGUUAAAAGAUAGAACGGUCUAGUCAAGCACCAUGUCUCAUAUUCUUGAUCAGCUAUAGCUCUGAAGUUUUUUGCAGAUUUUCAAAUAAAACUCAGAGAUUCCUUGUAUGACUCUCUCUAGUCUCUCUUUUAUGGUAUUUCUGGAUCCUUACCAAGGCAUUAAUGGUGUAUGCCUUCUCUCAAAGUAUGUGGUAUUUGUGGUAUAAGGCAUAGUGGCAUUGCCUUCUCUCUCACCCUACUCUAAUAAGGCUUUUGAUAUCUGGAGCUCAUAGGUGGGAGACAGCUAAUACAUACUUACAAGACAUUUAUUGCAUAGUCAAACCAUGGAUCCAGAAGAACAAUUCAAUAAGUCAAAUCAAGAUGUGCAUGUGUGGCAAAUGAAUGGUGUAUGGUAAUGAUGGUGAUAACAAUGGUGGAAGUCUAAUUCUACUUAUGCUCUUUUGAGGGGAUACAUACCUUUCCUGCUCUUUUGAAACUUUUCGAGGGGAAUGAGAUGCUCUAUAUUUUCUCUUUUUUUUCUCUCAGGUGGGUAUCUUGUACCCCUAAUUCUACUGUCGGACACUUGUCCAUUUUUACCUCUCGUCUCACUUUUUCUUUUCUUUCGAGGUUCCGGGCACUUGCCCCUUUUUAUUUCCUCGUAUAUUUUUUUCCUUUUAUUUAUUAGAGCACUCAUCUCAUGAGAUAAUAUAGCAAGUGGUAGUAACAAGAUAACUUGAGCAUUUUUUUAUAGGGAAAAACAGAAAUAGGAGAAUGUUUUUGGCUAUUCUCUCCCGGAUUAGGAGUAGAAUAUUUUUGGGUGGUUCUGGAGAUGGAAAUGGAUGGAUAUAUGUGGAUGCAUACUUCCAGAGUAGAAGCAGCAUGUGUGAGUGAACGUGCAAGUGAAUCUUGAUCUAACCACAUGACAAGCUCCUAAGGGUCUACACAGCUUGACCACACUCAAUGCUCAUAAGUAGUAAAGUAAAUGUGUGGUUCAUAGUCUAGCAAGCAUGUAUAUAUGGCUGUGGUAGGAAUUUAAACUCUCAUCAUACAGGAACUCAUCAUGCAACAUUUUAAAGAUUUUCAAAGAUAAAAUUCUCCAGAAUUCUAGCAUCUCUAGGAACAGAUAAACAACAGCUCAACCUUUCCAUAUCAUAUUCGUCAACAACUUAGACUUUAGAUCAAGUACUCUUCCCACAAGUUCAGGUUUAGAGCAAAUCUUAAUUAAUAACAGUCAUGCCUAAACUUGAGAGAGAUUUCAAUUUUUAGAACUAGUCAUGGCAGAGCAACUAUUCAUCAUUUCCAUGUGAGAGCUUAUCAUGAGGGUUCAUAGCAAACUUUAUUUAUUUAUUUAUUUAUUUAGCAAACUAAGCAAAGAUAUAUAUAAGCACAAAAUCUUUAUUUGGGUUUUUAUGAUUAUGCAUCUUUUUAUUAUUUGAGUAAAAUAUAAACGUGAGUAGAACACUUAGCUGGAUAAAUGGGGGUGCUCUCCCCCAACCUGGAUUUUGACGUAAUUUCUUCUGAUGUAGCUAGCAGGUGGCGGAGGUUGUAACACCCCAGGUGUUUGUCACUUGCUAAGUACUAGGUUUGAGCUCAAACAUGACAAGUUCAAUGGUAAUUAAAAGGUCAAAGUCAAUCUAUGAAAGUAAGCCUUAACUUGGACUUGGAUGAUGCACCUUUACUUACAUAUAGGCCCUUUUUAAAAGGUAUGCUUUGAUGAUGCUAAUGGAACCUUUUUCAUAUGUCUUUUAUCCAUCCCAAUCUAUAUUGGUCUUUGGAAAGUUUGGUGA
This 2005-nucleotide long non-coding RNA is filed under the name Sorghum bicolor (sorghum). RNAcentral's name for it is "long non-coding RNA (SBIC_LNC010350)". The record is from RNAcentral. Lineage: Eukaryota; Viridiplantae; Streptophyta; Magnoliopsida; Poales; Poaceae.